Non-coding RNA from Carlito syrichta (Philippine tarsier), 420 nucleotides. The record is from the annotation of a RefSeq genome assembly. Lineage: Eukaryota; Metazoa; Chordata; Mammalia; Primates; Tarsiidae.
AUGGAGAGGAAUCCUUUGGCUGCCUCCUUACUAAUCAUCUGGCUUAAUCUUGGCCGAGUGAGUAGCAUAUCGAAUGUGGAACAGAAUCCUUGGUCUCUGCAUGUUCAGGAGGGAGACAGCACCAAUUUCACCUGCAGAUUCCCUUCCAGCUCCUUUUAUGCCUUACACUGGUACAGGUGGGAACCUGCAAAAAGCCCCACGAUCCUGUUUGUAAUGACUUUAAAUGGAGAUGAAAAGAAAGAAGGACGAGUAAAAGUUACUCUUAAUACUAAAGAGGGUUACAGCCAUUUGCACAUCAAAGGAUCCCUGCCUGAAGACUCAGCUACAUACCUCUGUGCUGUGACACAGUGCUCUUCAGGAACCUGCAGCCCAUACCCAAACCUGUGUCUGGUGUUGCUCUACUACCCAGCAUCAACAUAG